GUGGGGAAUCUUGCGCAAUGGGCGAAAGCCUGACGCAGCCAUGCCGCGUGAAUGAUGAAGGUCUUAGGAUUGUAAAAUUCUUUCACCGGGGACGAUAAUGACGGUACCCGGAGAAGAAGCCCCGGCUAACUUCGUGCCAGCAGCCGCGGUAAUACGAAGGGGGCUAGCGUUGCUCGGAAUUACUGGGCGUAAAGGGCGCGUAGGCGGACAGUUUAGUCAGAGGUGAAAGCCCAGGGCUCAACCUUGGAAUUGCCAUUGAUACUGGCUGUCUUGAGUACGGGAGAGGUGAGUGGAACUCCGAGUGUAGAGGUGAAAUUCGUAGAUAUUCGGAAGAACACCAGUGGCGAAGGCGACUCACUGGCCCGUUACUGACGCUGAGGCGCGAAAGCGUGGGGAGCAAACAGGAUUAGAUACCCGGGUAGUCC
Molecule: ribosomal RNA, 425 nt
Filed under: uncultured bacterium
Lineage: Bacteria
Description: partial 16S ribosomal RNA
Rfam family: Bacterial small subunit ribosomal RNA
Source: RNAcentral